Molecule: long non-coding RNA, 332 nt
Organism: Morone saxatilis (striped sea-bass)
Lineage: Eukaryota; Metazoa; Chordata; Actinopteri; Moronidae
Exons: 3
Source: RefSeq, a predicted model, not a curated record
GUGAAACAAACGAAAGUAAGACAGUGUUAUACAGCCUGCGCCACAAUAUUGCUUUCAUUACCCGAUGGUGCAGUCCAGCAUCACACAUGAAAACAUAAACAACAAGUUGGAAGAAAGAUGGGAGAUGAAGAAGAUUCUAACCCCAGGAAAAGAUGCCGAGAUGAGAACACAAAGGCAGAAGAGGAUGAACAAACAGCUACUAAGAAGCCCUGUGUGACCACUUCAGAAGGUCUGACAGACGAUGCAGCGGAACAACAUAAAAUCAGUAACAUGGACAAACUGGGUGAACUACAACACACUAGGAAGGAAGAAGAAAGUAUCAUUGAAGAAGA